CGGCAACAGCUCAAAUUUGAAAUCUGGUCCCUAGGGCCCGAGUUGUAAUUUGUAGAGGAUGCUUUUGGCAAGGUGCCUUCCGAGUUCCCUGGAACGGGACGCCAUAGAGGGUGAGAGCCCCGUCUGGUCGGAUACCGCGCCUCUGUAAAGCUCUUUCGAC
This 160-nucleotide ribosomal RNA is filed under the name Lecanicillium fusisporum. Its description in RNAcentral is "partial large subunit ribosomal RNA". It matches the Rfam family "Eukaryotic large subunit ribosomal RNA", at positions 99 to 261 of the family's 3401-position model. Lineage: Eukaryota; Fungi; Ascomycota; Sordariomycetes; Hypocreales; Cordycipitaceae. The record is from RNAcentral.